Molecule: ribosomal RNA, 305 nt
Filed under: uncultured bacterium
Lineage: Bacteria
Description: bacterial SSU rRNA
Rfam family: Bacterial small subunit ribosomal RNA
Source: RNAcentral
CUGUCCUACGGGAGGCAGCAGUGGGGGAUAUUGCACAAUGGGGGGAACCCUGAUGCAGCGACGCCGCGUGGGUGAAGGAGCGUUUCGGCGCGUAAAGCCCUAUCGGCAGGGAAGAAGGAGGACGGUACCUGACUAAGAAGCCCCGGCUAACUACGUGCCAGCAGCCGCGGUAAUACGUAGGGGGCAAGCGUUAUCCGGAUUUACUGGGUGUAAAGGGGGCGCAGACGGCAGCGCAAGCCAGGAGUGAAAGCCCGGGGCCCAACCGCGGGACUGCAUUGGGAACUGGCGCGCUGGAGUGCCGGAGG